GUGGUAUUUUGACUAUACAAAGGUAUUGUAAUAAGAUUUUAAUUGAAUGCUAAAAGAAUGGAAAUUUAAAAAAAAACUUUUUUAAAAAUAAAAAUUGAAUUUUUUUUAAUUUGUGCAAAAACAAUUAUUAUUAUUAAAGACAAGAAGACCCUAAGAAUUUAUGAUUUUGUAAUUAAAAUUUUUUUUUUUAAAAAAUCUUGAUUGGGGCGAUCAAAAAAUAUUAAUAACUUUUUAAAUUUAAAUUGAUCUAUUAUUAAUAAACUAAUGAAUUAAAUACUCUAGGGAUAACAGCGUAAUAAUUUUUGAUAGAUCUUAUUGACAAAAUAGUUUGCGACCUCGAUGUUGGAUUAGGAUUCUUUUUUAAUGAAAAAGUUAAAAAAAAAAGUUUGUUCAACUUUUAAAUUCCUACAUGAUCUGA
RNAcentral lists this ribosomal RNA (418 nucleotides) under Hyalomma excavatum. RNAcentral's name for it is "partial large subunit ribosomal RNA". Lineage: Eukaryota; Metazoa; Arthropoda; Arachnida; Ixodida; Ixodidae. The record is from RNAcentral.